GCGGGAAUAGUUCAGCGGUAGAGCGCGACCUUGCCAAGGUCGAAGUCGCGAGUUCGAAUCUCGUUUCCCGCU
This is a transfer RNA of 72 nucleotides. It matches the Rfam family "tRNA". From Rfam's summary of the family: Transfer RNA (tRNA) molecules are approximately 80 nucleotides in length. The record is from Rfam.